This 63-nucleotide transfer RNA is filed under the name Gastrocopta cristata. RNAcentral's name for it is "tRNA-Met". The record is from RNAcentral. Lineage: Eukaryota; Metazoa; Mollusca; Gastropoda; Stylommatophora; Pupillidae.
CUAAAAAUAAGCUACAAUAAGCUAUUGGGCUCAUAACCCAAAAAUGGGUAACCCCUUUUUAGA